RNAcentral lists this unclassified non-coding RNA (215 nucleotides) under Glomus sp. RNAcentral describes it as "partial contains 5.8S ribosomal RNA and internal transcribed spacer 2". The stretch from base 1 to 65 matches the Rfam family "5.8S ribosomal RNA", at positions 84 to 154 of the family's 154-position model. Lineage: Eukaryota; Fungi; Glomeromycota; Glomeromycetes; Glomerales; Glomeraceae. The record is from RNAcentral.
GUGAAUCAUCGAAUUUUUGAACGCAAAUUGCACUCUCCUCGGAGAGUAUGCCUGUUUGAGGGUCAGCCUAUAAAAAUUGACAUCGUUGCUGUUUCUCGGUUGCGUUCGUCGGAAAUUGGGUCAUCUUAAAUUUUUUGUUUUUAGCCUGCUUAAAAUUUCCUUUUUGUUUCCAUGAUCGUUCUAAAGUUUUUUUUUUUUACACUUUUAAGUUAUGG